UCGCGCGAGAGUCAGGACUGUGCCGCUCUGUGCCCCGUGCCGGCUCGAAGUUAGCGUCGGAAAAACGAGUGUCAACCGGUGUGAAAUCGGAUUGGGUUUGUCGCUAAUAGUUUCUGUGAAUCGUGCCGAUCGAAACAGCUCGAUUUCGUCUCUCUCGGCAGUUCUCCCUUCGUGUUUACAUUCGGCGAGUGAUUUGUUUACGUUCGGCGGUUUUAAGUGUGCCGGUGGGUUUUUGUGGUGUAUUCGGCGGAUCUGAUGGAUAACUCAGUGUGAUCGGUUGAUUUUUCCACCGGAGCGGCGUUUUCCCCUUGGAUUGUUCGUCUGAUAAGUGUUUCGAAAAAUGCGGCGAUCGCAUCGGAAAAAGCGGAUCCGGGUGUGGUGAUCGUAUCAGUGGGGAUUCUAAACGCGGAAAAGUGCGGGGGAUAGGGGUGGCCGAUGGCGAGGGGUUGUGUUGUGAUGUGUUGAUCGACUGGCCAUCUUUCCUCCGGGAAACUCGACCUCAUGAUGGCUUGGAUCAACGCCUGUUUCUGCUCCAAUCAAGAAAA
Molecule: non-coding RNA, 545 nt
Organism: Bemisia tabaci
Lineage: Eukaryota; Metazoa; Arthropoda; Insecta; Hemiptera; Aleyrodidae
Source: RefSeq, a predicted model, not a curated record